ACGGGUGAGUAAUGUCUGGGAAACUGCCUGAUGGAGGGGGAUAACUACUGGAAACGGUAGCUAAUACCGCAUAAUGUCGCAAGACCAAAGAGGGGGACCUUCGGGCCUCUUGCCAUCGGAUGUGCCCAGAUGGGAUUAGCUAGUAGGUGGGGUAACGGCUCACCUAGGCGACGAUCCCUAGCUGGUCUGAGAGGAUGACCAGCCACACUGGAACUGAGACACGGUCCAGACUCCUACGGGAGCAGCAUG
RNAcentral lists this ribosomal RNA (249 nucleotides) under uncultured bacterium. RNAcentral describes it as "partial 16S ribosomal RNA". It matches the Rfam family "Bacterial small subunit ribosomal RNA", at positions 102 to 353 of the family's 1533-position model. The record is from RNAcentral.